GUGCUUACACAUGCAAGUCGAACGAUGAAAGCGGGAGCUUGCUCCUGCUGGAUUAGUGGCGAACGGGUGAGUAACACGUGAGCAAUCUGCCCUUGACUCUGGGAUAACGCCGAGAAAUUGGUGCUAAUACCGGAUAUGACCCCUGGCGGCAUCGCUGGGGGUGGAAAGUUUUUCGGUCAAGGAUGAGCUCGCGGCCUAUCAGCUAGUUGGUGAGGUAAUGGCUCACCAAGGCGACGACGGGUAGCCGGCCUGAGAGGGUGACCGGCCACACUGGGACUGAGACACGGCCCAGACUCCUACGGGAGGCAGCAGUGGGGAAUAUUGCACAAUGGGCGCAAGCCUGAUGCAGCAACGCCGCGUGGGGGAUGACGGCCUUCGGGUUGUAAACCUCUUUUAGCAGGGAAGAAGCGAAAGUGACGGUACCUGCAGAAAAAGCGCCGGCUAACUACGUGCCAGCAGCCGCGGUAAUACGUAGGGCGCAAGCGUUGUCCGGAAUUAUUGGGCGUAAAGCGUCUGCAGGUUGAUAUUUAAGUCUUUUGUUAAACUUUCGGGCUUAACCUGAAUUCUGCAAAAGAAACUAUUUAUCUUGAGUAUGGUAGAGGUAAAGGGAAUUUCCAGUGGAGCGGUGAAAUGCGUAGAGAUUGGAAAGAACACCAACAGCGAAGGCACUUUACUGGGCUAGUACUGACACUGAGAGACGAAAGCUAGGGGAGCAAACGGGAUUAGAUACCCCGGUAGUCCUAGCUGUAAACGAUGGAUACUAGAUGUUGUGCAUUUUUGGAUGUGCAGUGUCGUAGCUAACGCGUUAAGUAUCCCGCCUGGGAAGUAUGCUCGCAAGAGUGAAACUCAAAUGAAUUGACGG
This 862-nucleotide ribosomal RNA is filed under the name uncultured bacterium. RNAcentral describes it as "bacterial SSU rRNA". It matches the Rfam family "Bacterial small subunit ribosomal RNA", at positions 44 to 916 of the family's 1533-position model. The record is from RNAcentral.